Molecule: ribosomal RNA, 223 nt
Filed under: uncultured Glomeromycotina
Lineage: Eukaryota; Fungi; Glomeromycota
Description: partial 18S ribosomal RNA
Rfam family: Eukaryotic small subunit ribosomal RNA (bases 40-223)
Source: RNAcentral
AGGUUAGUAGGCUGGUCAUGCCUCCGGUAUGUACUGGCCUCACUGAUUCCUCCUUCCUGAUGAACCGUAAUGCCAUUAAUUUGGUGUUGCGGGGAAUUUGGACUGUUACUUUGAAAAUUAGAGUGUUUAAAGCAAGCUAACGCUUGAAUACAUUAGCAUGGAAUAAUGAAAUAGGACGUUCGAUCCUAUUUUGUUGGUUUCUAGGAUUGACGUAAUGAUUAAU